RNAcentral lists this ribosomal RNA (443 nucleotides) under uncultured bacterium. Its description in RNAcentral is "partial 16S ribosomal RNA". It matches the Rfam family "Bacterial small subunit ribosomal RNA", at positions 338 to 795 of the family's 1533-position model. The record is from RNAcentral.
CCUACGGGAGGCAGCAGUGGGGAAUAUUGGGCAAUGGGCGCAAGCCUGACCCAGCAACGCCGCGUGAUGGAAGAAGGCCUUCGGGUUGUAAACUUCUUUUCUGAGGGACGAAGAAAGUGACGGUACCUCAGGAAUAAGCCACGGCGAAAUACGUGCCAGCAGCCGCGGUAACACGUAGGUAGCAAGCGUUACCCGGAUUUAUUGGGUGGAAAGGGCGUGUAGGCGGGAAUGCAAGUCAGAUGUGAAAACUCAGGGUUCAACCCUGGGCCUGCAUUUGAAACUGUUGUUCUUGAGUGCUGGAGAGGCAAUCGGAAUUCCGGGUGUAGCGGUGAAAUGCGUAGAUAUACGGAGGAACACCAGUGGCGAAGGCGGAUUGCUGGACAAUAACUGACGCUGAGGCACGAAAGCGUGGGGAGCAAACAGGAUUAGAUACCCGUGUAGUC